AUUGAACGCUGGCGGCAGGCCUAACACAUGCAAGUCGAACGAGUGGCGGACGGGUGAGUAAUGUAUGUGAAACUGCGUGAUGGAGGGGGAUAACUACUGGAAACGGUAGCUAAUACCGCAUACCUUCAGCUGUGUCCAGAUGGGUUUAGCUUGUUGGUGGGGUAAAGGCUAACCAAGGCGACGCACCCUAGCUGGUCUGAGAGGAUGACCAGCCAAACUGGAACUGAGACACGGUCCAGACUCCGACGGGAGGCAGCAGGGGGGAAGAUGGGACAAUGGGCGAAAGCCUGAUGCAGCCAUGCGGCGUGUAUGAAGAAGGCCUGCGGGUUGUAAAGUACUUUAAGCGGGGAGGCGUUACCAGCAGAAGAAGCACCGGCUAACUCCGUGCCAGCGGCCGCGGUAAUAC
RNAcentral lists this ribosomal RNA (406 nucleotides) under uncultured bacterium. Its description in RNAcentral is "partial 16S ribosomal RNA". It matches the Rfam family "Bacterial small subunit ribosomal RNA", at positions 29 to 526 of the family's 1533-position model. The record is from RNAcentral.